CCUACGGGAGGCAGCAGUGGGGAAUAUUGGGCAAUGGGCGCAAGCCUGACCCAGCAACGCCGCGUGGAGGAUGACGGUUUUCGGAUUGUAAACUCCUUUUGUUAGAGAAGAUAAUGACGGUAUCUAACGAAUAAGCACCGGCUAACUCCGUGCCAGCAGCCGCGGUAAUACGGAGGGUGCAGGCGUUACUCGGAAGCACUGGGCGUAAAGAGCGCGUAGGCGGGAUAGCAAGUCAGAUGUGAAAUCCUAUGGCUUAACCAUAGAACUGCAUGUGAAACUGUUAUUCUAGAGUAUGGGAGAGGUAGGUGGAAUUCGUGGUGUAGGGGUAAAAUGCGUAGAGAUCAAGAGGAAUACUCAUUGCGAAGGCGACCUGCCAGAACAUAACUGACGCUGAUGCGCGAAAGCGUGGGGAGCGAACAGGAGUAGAUACCCGAGUAGUC
Molecule: ribosomal RNA, 440 nt
Filed under: uncultured bacterium
Lineage: Bacteria
Description: partial 16S ribosomal RNA
Rfam family: Bacterial small subunit ribosomal RNA
Source: RNAcentral